UAACACGUAGGGGGCGAGCGUUGUCCGGAUUUAUUGGGCGUAAAGAGCUCGUAGGCGGCUCAGUAAGUCGGGUGUGAAAACUCCAGGCUCAACCUGGAGACGCCACCCGAUACUGCUGUGGCUAGAGUCCGGUAGGGGAGCAUGGAAUUCCUGGUGUAGCGGUGAAAUGCGCAGAUAUCAGGAGGAACACCAGUGGCGAAGGCGGUGCUCUGGGCCGGAACUGACGCUGAGGAGCG
This 236-nucleotide ribosomal RNA is filed under the name uncultured bacterium. Its description in RNAcentral is "partial 16S ribosomal RNA". It matches the Rfam family "Bacterial small subunit ribosomal RNA", at positions 521 to 755 of the family's 1533-position model. The record is from RNAcentral.